RNAcentral lists this small RNA (170 nucleotides) under Citrobacter freundii. Its description in RNAcentral is "RtT sRNA". The stretch from base 1 to 66 matches the Rfam family "tRNA". RNAcentral also lists the same sequence under 1 other name. The record is from RNAcentral. Lineage: Bacteria; Pseudomonadati; Pseudomonadota; Gammaproteobacteria; Enterobacterales; Enterobacteriaceae.
UAGCUCAGUUGGUAGAGCAGUUGACUUUUAAUCAAUUGGUCGCAGGUUCGAAUCCUGCACGACCCACCAAUCGCUAAGGUAGAACGCGAUUGCAAAACGUGAAGGAUAACGUUGCGUAAGCAACGGCCCGUAGGGCGAGGCAAAGCCGAGUCAUCCUGCACGACCCACCA